Molecule: long non-coding RNA, 1727 nt
Organism: Parus major (Great Tit)
Lineage: Eukaryota; Metazoa; Chordata; Aves; Passeriformes; Paridae
Exons: 3
Source: RefSeq, a predicted model, not a curated record
GCGUGCUGCAGGAUGGAGGUGAACUUGGAGAACAUCCUGUCCCGCGACUGCAGCAGCCGCUGCCGGGAGGACCUCGAGAGCUCCUCGAUCCGCCGCCGCCGCCGCUCCAGGGCAUGGAGAGCUACAGCCCAAAUACUCUGUGGAAGUAAAUAGUACUUGUAUGUGGACACCUUUGUUGCAGUUGUUAAAGAGCAGAGCUAUUUCCUUCACAAAAUCCAGAAGUCUCAAUAUGUUGAUAUCAAUUUAAAAGGUAAAUAUUAACUGGACAGAUGCUGCAUUUGGAAGGUGCCUGCACAUCUGUGUCUAAGAGAACAUGCUCAUUUAAGAUGCUUUUGGAGUCUGUUUUUCCUGCAAAAAUAUCUUUUAAAUGUGCUUAGGCUUUCCCAUCUCCGAGCAGCAGAAUGAAUAAAGAAACAGUAAGAUAUCAUGAAGAUAUAAAAGGAGACAGUUCUAUAACUGGGAGAGUAUUCCUAAUUGUACUUAACAAUUUAUGAAAUCAUAACUCACAGAAUCACAGAUGGUGAGGUAAAGCUUUUGUAAUGCUUGAGGGCCUCUUAUUAUUCUAAGACUGACUGAUGUAUAUAAAUGCAUUAUUAUUUAAACAGAACAGUUCAUUGUGGUUGAAAUUAAGAUUUUGGUUGUAAAAGUGACUUCUUACUAAGACUUCUCAAUGUGAAAUGCCUUGCAGUAAAGUGAAAAAGAAAAAAAUAUUACAUGCAAAUUAUUUUUCCUAAGCCUAUUAAACAAAUUGAAUCUCUGCAUAUAACCCUGCAUUUACCAACCAAUUGAUUUGGCUUGAAUCUGUAGCUAUAGUGCAGAAUCCAGUCUUUGGUGCUUAUAUGUUUUGCAAGUUGUAGAUAUAUUUUUAUUGAUGAUCUUUUAAAGUUGUUUCUAAUUUCUCAACCAUAUGUAUGUAUUUCUCACUGCUGGGAAUAUUGGAUAAAUACUGGCAAACCAGUAGUAGUGCAAAUCACUGGAAACUAAUGGAAAAAAUAUUUCACCAGUGUCAGUGCAGAAGAACUCAGCUGAGGUUACAUUUUGUUUGGAUUCUUCUUGUUCUUAUUAGGGAGGAUUCAAUUGGAGAUGAUGCAGUUAUGGAUGGGCUACCAAUGUCAUGUCAUGUGCAACAAUACAUCUUCAGCUGCUCAUGCUUGAUGUUGUUUCCACUGAAAUAAACACAAGUAUUACUAACUGUUUUAGUACCCCUGAGAGCACAGUUCUGCUGGCUUGGGGUUGGGGUGGUUUUUUUGGCAAGGUAGUUCUUUUUUUGGAAAAGUGCAUGCAGUGAAUUAGUGUUUUGCUUGAAUGUGAGAAAUGAAAGUGUGAAAGUGAAGCUGUUCUAAUUGAUAGAGCUUUUGGGAACUUUCUUCUUUCUUACAAAUUAAUGAAAUUGUCUAGAUUAAAUCAAUUUAGAUGGUGUGUGACUGUGAGAUAAUAUGCUGGCCUUUCUAUCUGAAAAUCUCUCUGCUAUUUGGAUUGAUGGCACCGGGCCAGUGUCUAAUGGAUGCAUUUGUCUACAUUACAGAAGAAGUUCCUGCAGUCUGGACUUUUGCUUCAGAGAGCCUGAAGAUUUGGUGAAUUUUUUUCACCCUAGAUAAAAACUUUCCUGUUAGUGCUAUACCAAAAAUCUGUUGAUAUUCUGUGCAGAAUUUUAUUGUGUUUGUAAUAAUCAGAUUGACAUCUGUGUUUUCAGUGACUACUUGAAUGAAAUAAAGAAUGAAGUUUUA